This 40-nucleotide unclassified non-coding RNA is filed under the name Sorangium cellulosum So ce56. The record is from RNAcentral. Lineage: Bacteria; Pseudomonadati; Myxococcota; Polyangiales; Polyangiaceae.
CCGGAUCACUAACGCCUGCUUUCGCACCUGUUCGACCUGU